GGAGAGGUACCCAAGAGGCCGAAGGGGACCCUUUGCUAAAGGGUUAGGCGUGUAACAGCGCGCGAGGGUUCGAAUCCCUCUCUCUCCG
Molecule: transfer RNA, 88 nt
Filed under: Bacillota bacterium
Lineage: Bacteria; Bacillati; Bacillota
Also listed under: 1 other name
Description: tRNA-Ser
Rfam family: tRNA
About the family: Transfer RNA (tRNA) molecules are approximately 80 nucleotides in length. Their secondary structure includes four short double-helical elements and three loops (D, anti-codon, and T loops).
Source: RNAcentral